UGACAGGUAAGGUAGUGACACUCAUUUGUCCCAAAGCAUGUGAACGUAUCAGCCAACAGGCGUUGUUUUUAUCCGAGCGCCGACAUGGCGGCUGGUAGGGAGUCGCUGGAGUCUUGGCUAAACAAAGCUACUAGUCCUUCCAACCGAGAAGAAGACUGGGAGAAUAUCAUGGGAUUCUGUAACCAAAUAAACAAGGAGCUUGAGGGACCACAAAUAUCUGUUCGACUGUUGGUCCACAAGAUCCAUUCGCCACAGGAAUGGGAGGCACUACAAGCCUUGAUGGUUCUGGGGGCCUGUAUGAAGAAUUGCGGCCAAAGAUUUCAGAAUGAAGUUGGGAAAUUUCGUUUUUUAAAUGAGCUCAUUAAAGUGAUAUCACCCAAAUAUCUAGGAGACAAAGUUUCUGAGAAGGUGAGGUCAAAAGUGAUCAAGAUGAUUUACAGUUGGACCAUUUAUCUUCCUGAGGAAACCAAAAUCUUUGAGGCUUAUCAGAUGUUAAAGACUCAGGGGAUUGUAUUAGCUGACCCUGAGAUCCCUCUUGAUGCUGCAUUAGCCCCAUCUUCCUCUGAGAAGCCCAAGAAUCCAGUGUUUGAUGAUGAGCACAAAAGCAGAAAGUUAGCAGAGCUGCUCAAGAGUAAAAAGCCAACAGAUCUGCAGGAGGCUAAUCAACUCAUCAAGAACAUGGUCAAAGAGGAUGAACUGAGGACACAGAAAGCUUCAAAGCAGAGUAGCACAGUGGAGGCGGUGAACAACAGUGUCAAACUUCUUAAUGAGAUGCUUACUUACUUUAGUCCCGAAAGCUCGACUGAUGGUGACAAGGAUCUCAUUAGGGAGUUGUACAGUGAGUGUAACAAGCUGAGACAAACAGUGUGUCAGCUAGCUACAGAGACGGAUGAUAACGACACUUACUUGGGAGACAUCCUGCAAGCAAAUGAUGACCUCUCCAAUGUCAUUAAUUCAUAUAAGAAGAUAAUGGAAGGCCAGACCAUCAAUGGAGACUCUAAAACACUAUCAGCAGUCACACAAGACACUAGCUGCACAGCUCAGUCAGAGAGUCUGAUUGAUUUAACGGAUCUGGACAACCCAGAUUUUUCCCAACUACCUUUUGCAUCAUCUGUGUUUUCGCACGUUGAUCUUUUGUGUGGAUCCAGUGUGGCUGAACAAGAGGCCGACAAAGCCUCUGCAUCGUUUUCUCUGCUGGAUGAAGAGCUGCUGUCUUUAGGGCUCAAUGGACUUGUUACAAAUGAAUCAGAGCAACCUCGAAACAUGAGCAAUUAUCCACAACCAUUUCAGAUUUGCAGUCAGGAUGUGGACCAUUUUGACACCACUUCACCUGCAGGUUCUGCGUUCUUCACAAUUCCGCCCUCUUCAAGUUCCUCUGUCUUCGACUCAUUGUUCCCCAGUGCUCUGCUGCCAUCUGUCACACUCCAGCAGCCACCAGUCGGCCCAGUCUCAAGUUCAAGAGUGCCAAUGUCUCCUCCUCAAUCGCAAAGCACAGCGCUGUUGCCUCCAGCAACUGUCCAUGUUGCCACCUCACAGAUCUCCACUGCACCGCAACCUUCACAGUCUGAACCACCCUCUCUGGGUCACAGUCUACAAGACAUUGCCUUGCUUGAUUUCAGCAGUUGUAAAAGGGGACCCGAGGUGCACUUUGACAAUGCACCAGCCAAGCGUGAUGGUACGUGUUCUCCUGCCAACCACCUGUGCCAAGGUGGGUUGCCCAACUGCCCCCCAGAUAGAUGUCAAGCAGACAAUGUUCUGUUGCACUCCCUGAACCCCAUCAUCAUACAGAGCCAGAACAAUUUAGACACGGGAGAAGAGGCAUCCCUUGCUAAUGUCUUUGUACCAUUGGAGGCUGUCAGACCAAGUAAGCUGUGUCCUGUCACAGUGUACGACGAGAGUGGUGUUCACGUGCUGCUACAUUUUGCUCGUGACUGUCCGCCUGGCAGGCCGGAUGUUUUGGUGAUUGUUGCCUCCAUGCUGAAUACAUCUCCACUCCCUGUCAGUGACAUUGUGCUGCAGGCUGCAGUUCCGAAGGCCAUUCCAGACACCGCACUAGCAUUUCUCUCCAGCAGAAGCCCUUCUAGUCAGCAUGCAGAACGCACUUGAUCAUUUUGCCGGCCAAAUGUAAAGGUGACUAUAUGGGUGUUAUUUCAUGUCUAGAGGGCUGUAAUAAUGUUAAAAACUAUGUUUAGAAGAUUGUAAAGAGGGUUUUUAUGCCGUAACUACCAAAAUAUUCCAUGUAUUAAUAUUGAAUCCUACUUUGUGUCAAUUCACUUAUCACAGUCUGGUCUGGGACCAAUUUACAGCGAUAAACACGACACGAAUGUACUUAUACUGAAGGUAGGGAUGUCCCGAUCCACAUUUUUUGGCUUCCUACCAGAUUUUGUUUUUUUUUUAUAUAGUCUUGCCGAUCCGAUACCGAUAAUAAGCUUUUGUUACAAACAUGAAUUUGUGUAAAUUAAUAUGAUUAUGAAACAGCUCUUCAAAGCAUUAAAAAUAAUGCAACCAAAGUAUUGCUGAAUAUACUUUUUUUAUUACACAGCAUGACCAACAAUAUUGUUUGGCUUUUGUAACAAACCUCUGUGAGUCAGGUCCCUAAUCCAAUAAAACAUUAAAUAAAACUCCAUCCAAUUAAAGAUAAAAUUGGAAAAAAUGGGCGUGAUAAAUACUUUUAGGGUAGGACUAAUCAUUUGACAUGGAUAUAGAUCAAUGUGUUGUGUGAUUUAGAAUAUAUGACUUUUUUUUCAAAACAAAUUCUCUUCAAAGCAUUAUUGAUGGUCCCUAGUAUAAACAGCCAGCGGUUAGAGCAGCACUUCCCGUGCGAGCCCCCCGCACCAUGACACAAGAGUCCACAGUGAGGGGGAACUACCGCUGUAGCUACGGAGUCAAAUAUCCAACAUCCAACGUGAAACUAACUUCACCACAGUACAGCGCAGACAUGUCUGCAUGGUAUUGUUGCGUUAUGAUUUCGUCAUUUCAUUAAUGGAACUUCAUGAAGCUCUCCAGCAGAUGCCAAAUAAGUGUAGACCAGAGUUACCAACGUUACAUGGUCCGAUCUCUGAAAAUAAAGCAGCUCGGCAGCUGAUCCCGAUCCUGAAGAUCGGAUAGGGAUCGGCUGCCCUAAUUGAAGGUUUUGUGGCACCGCGUGGCCGCCACGGCGCCCUUAGAAAUUGCCUGUAUUGCUGAGUGGACGGGCCAGCCACCUUUUGCCUACACUCAGCUGCCCAUGACCCUGAAAAGGAUAAUUUAUAUAAAAUGAAUGAAAACUCCUGUUUAUGUUUGCAUUUUUGACCAGCCUGUUUAGACCUGUUAAAGGCCAAAAGAGUUUAUAUGGCGUCAUGUGUGUUUGUUGUAAAUAUCCAUGACAUUUGUGGGAGAUUUAAAAGCAGUUAUUGCACACAGCCAUUCAAGUGUACUUUGGUAAGAUACUGUAAGAAACCGACAUCAUCACAAGCUGUGCAGCAAUCUCCCAGCUUGAUCAAAAAUAAAUCAAAUGAGUGGACCUACAAUCUGACAUGCUUUGUUUUGUGUGUGCUUCUAUUGAGACAAUGAAAGUGAAAUUGCAGCCACCCUCGGGUACACGGUUGGCUCCCUUCAACCCCAUCGCACCCACUGCUGUCAUCAGUCAGGUCAUGCUGCUUUCCAAUCCUCACAAGGAAAAAGUUCGGAUGAGGUUCAAGUUGACCUUCACGCUGGGAGAGC
Dunckerocampus dactyliophorus (ringed pipefish) is the source of this 3702-nucleotide RNA transcript. It is a transcript of the gene named golgi associated, gamma adaptin ear containing, ARF binding protein 3a, with no coding region annotated. NCBI's taxonomy places the organism in Eukaryota, Metazoa, Chordata, Actinopteri, Syngnathiformes, Syngnathidae. The transcript has 17 exons. The record is from RefSeq and is a predicted model, not a curated record.